RNAcentral lists this ribosomal RNA (491 nucleotides) under uncultured bacterium. RNAcentral's name for it is "partial 16S ribosomal RNA". It matches the Rfam family "Bacterial small subunit ribosomal RNA", at positions 29 to 507 of the family's 1533-position model. The record is from RNAcentral.
UUGAACGCUGGCGGCAUGCUUUACCCCUGCCAGUCGAACGGUAACAGGCCUUCGGGUGCUGACGAGUGGCGACCGGGUGAGUAAUGCAUCGGAACGUACCCAGAGGUGGGGGAUAACGCAGCGAAAGCUGUGCUAAUACCGCAUGUGAUCUGAGGAUGAAAGCGGGGGACCGAGCAGCAAUGUUUGGCCUCGCGCCUUUGGAGCGGCCGAUGUCGGAUUAGCUAGUUGGUGGGGUAAAGGCCUACCAAGGCGACGAUCCGUAGCUGGUCUGAGAGGACGACCAGCCACACUGGGACUGAGACACGGCCCAGACUCCUACGGGAGGCAGCAGUGGGGAAUUUUGGACAAAGGGCGCAAGCCUGAUCCAGCAAUGCCGCGUGCGGGAAGAAGGCCUUCGGGUUGUAAACCGCUUUUGGCAGGAACGAAACGGUGUCCGCUAAUACCGGGCGCUAAUGACGGUACCUGCAGAAUAAGCACCGGCUAACUACGUG